UGAAUACGAGAUGCUACGGCGUCGAAGCAGUCUAUGUCAUACUUCCAAGAAAAGCUCGCACUGUCAUAAACAAAUAAUGCCUGUACCAUAACCGACACAGGUGGGUAGGUAGAGUAUACUAAGGGGCGCGAGAUAACUCUCUCUAAGGAACUCGGCAAAAUGACUCCGUAACUUCGGGAGAAGGAGUGCCUUAUUUAUAAGGUUGCAAUAACAAGAUCCAAGCAACUGUUUACCAAAAACACAGGUCUCCGCUAAGUCGUAAGACGAUGUAUGGGGGCUGACGCCUGCCCAGUGCCAGAAGGUUAAAGAAGUUGGUUAGCAUCCGCGAAGCUGAUAACUGAAGCCCUGGUGAACGGCGGCCGUAACGAUAACGGUCCUAAGGUAGCGGAAUUCCUUGUCGGGUAAGUUCCGACUCGCACGAAAGGCGUAAUGAUUUGGAUACUGUCUCGGAGAGGGGCUCGGUGAAAUAGACUUGUCUGUGAAGAUGCGGACUACCUGCACCAGGACAGAAAGACCCUAUGAAGCUUUACUGUAACCUGAAAUUGAAAUUGGACUUUACUUGCGCAGUAUAGGUGGGAGGCGUUGAGAAUAUUCUUGCGGGAUUAUUGGAGCCAUCAGUGAGAUACCACUCUUGUAAUGUUAGAUUUCUAACUUUGUAUCAUUAUCUGGUCAAAGAACAGUUUCAGGCGGGCAGUUUGACUGGGGCGGUCGCCUCCUAAACGGUAACGGAGGCGCACAAAGGUUUCCUCUGAACGGGUAGAAAUCGUAUCUAGAGUGUAAAGGCAUAAGGAAGCCUGACUGUGAGACCUACAAGUCGAGCAGGGACGAAAGUCGGUCUUAGUGAUCUGACGGUGCUGAGUGGAAAGGCCGUCACUCAACGGAUAAAAGUUACUCUAGGAUAACAGGCUGAUCUCCCCCAAGAGUUCACAUCGACGGGGAGGUUUGGCACCUCGAUGUCGGCUCAUCGCAUCCUGGGGCGGUAGUACGUCCCAAGGGUUGGGCUGUUCGCCCAUGAAAGCGGUACGCGAGCUGGGUUCAGAACGUCGUGAGACAGUUCGGUCCAUAUCCGGUGUAGGCGUUAGAAUAUUGAGAGGAGCCUUCUUUAGUACGAGAGGACCGAGAAGGACAUACCUCUGGUGUACCAGUUAUCGUGCCAACGGUAAACGCUGGGUAGCUAUGUGUGGAGUGGAUAACCGCUGAAAGCAUCUAAGUGGGAAGCCCACCUCAAGAUAAGUA
Molecule: ribosomal RNA, 1236 nt
Filed under: metagenome
Description: bacterial LSU rRNA
Rfam family: Bacterial large subunit ribosomal RNA
Source: RNAcentral